Molecule: ribosomal RNA, 575 nt
Filed under: Conopea galeata
Lineage: Eukaryota; Metazoa; Arthropoda; Thecostraca; Balanomorpha; Balanidae
Description: eukaryotic LSU rRNA
Rfam family: Eukaryotic large subunit ribosomal RNA
Source: RNAcentral
AUGAUCAGAGGAGCUGGGCUCCUUGCGAGCUCAACCUAUUCUCAAACUUUCAAUGGGUGAGACGUCUCGCUGGCUUCAAUGCAGCGACGACUCUGAAUCCGAGUGCCCAGUGGGCCACUUUUGGUAAGCAGAACUGGCGAUGCGGGAUGAACCGCAUGUCGAGUUAAGGUGCCUAAGCGAACGCAAAUCAGAUACCAUGAAAGGUGUUGAUUGCUCACGACAGCAGGACGGUGGCCAUGGAAGUCGGCAUCCGCUAAGGAGUGUGUAACAACUCACCUGCCGAAGCAAUCAGCCCUGAAAAUGGAUGGCGCUAAAGCGUUCCACCGAUACUCGACCGUCGUCGGCAGGCGACGUGCAUGCCACGUCUCAAGCCACGACGAGUAGGGCGGCGCGGUGGUGAGCGUCGAAGGCGUAGCCGUGAGGCUAGCUGGAGCCGCCAUCGGUGCAGAUCUUGGUGGUAGUAGCAAAUACACAAGCAAGAUCCUUGUGGACCGAUGUGGAGAAGGGUUCCGCGCGAACAGUACUUGGACGUGGGUGAGUCGGCCCUAAGCCAACGGGUAAUUCCCGCAUCCCGU